Molecule: ribosomal RNA, 497 nt
Filed under: uncultured bacterium
Lineage: Bacteria
Description: partial 16S ribosomal RNA
Rfam family: Bacterial small subunit ribosomal RNA
Source: RNAcentral
GAUGAACGCUGGCGGCGUGCCUAAUACAUGCAAGUCGAGCGCACGGACGAGAAGUUUGCUUCCCUGAUGUUUGCGGCGGGCGGGUGAGUCACAUGUGGAUACUCUCCCUAUACGACUGGGAACACUUCGGGACACCGUCGCUAAUCCCGUAUAAUUUUUUGAUCCGUAUGGUUCACUAGUGAAAGACGGUCUCGCUGCUACUUAUAGAUCGAUCCGCGUUGCAUUAGGUAGUUGGUAAGGUAACGGCUGACCAAGGCAACGAGGCAUAGCCGACCUGAGAGGGGGAACGGCCACACUGGAACGGGAACACGGCCCAGACUCCUACGGGAGGCAGCAGUAGGGAACCUUCCGCAAUGAGCGAAGGCCGAACGGGGCAACGCGGCGGGAGGGAGGAAGGUCUUCGAAUCGUAAGACUCGGUGAAAAGGGAGGAACAGAUGUGGAAGGAACAGUGCACAUCUUGACGGUACCUAAUCAGAAAGCCACGGCUAACUACGUG